This is a long non-coding RNA of Gasterosteus aculeatus aculeatus (three-spined stickleback), 416 nucleotides long. The record is from Ensembl. Lineage: Eukaryota; Metazoa; Chordata; Actinopteri; Perciformes; Gasterosteidae.
CUCACAUGCAUGCGGUGUGUUUCUUUAACAACGUCAGCAGUCGAGAAUGACAUUCUCAAACACGGUUCUUGGGGAAUCAGGACUAAAAUGUUUCGAUGCUACGAUGUGUUCUCUCCUCAACAACGUGUCCACAAGCACACAACUCCCCAUUUUUAUCAUAAUUGUACAUUAUGUUAUGCAUCCUGUAAUUAGUGUGAUCUCGACGCAUGACAAAGUGCUGAAUAAGGAAAAGGGCAGGCAACCUGAUUCUUCAUGUAUCACAUAACACCUCAAGUGAUAAUUAAGAUUGUGGGGUCAUCAGAUCAAGUGGGAGUCUCCCUGACAUCGCCUUGGCGCGCGCCCCUCCACACCACAGCACCCCGCCCCCCACCACAUCUCCCCAAUUCUUUCCAUGGGUCCAAGACUUAGAAGGCAAU